CGUUAUGGGUGGGUGAGUGAAGAAUCGGCUUUAAGAGAGAUUGACAAAGGAAGACUCUUGAUUUGAGGAAGGAAUGAACGGGGAGGGCCACAGAGAGCAACUCUGCCUUCCACAGAGAAGCAGGAGACGUGGGACUGAAGGGACAUACUCCAACCAUGAUCAUAUCCCAGUAAACAGCUUUUUUUUUCACUGACACUGGAAAUGAACUCCAAGGAUCAAUCCAACCAAUUUGCGCUCCCAUGAGGUGAGAGACUGGCCUCCGUCCUCCGUCUUCUAAUGCCCUGGCAGCUAGCAGAGACCCACAGCCAGAAGGGAUGAAGGCAGUGCAGACAGAAGACAACCUCCCCACACUGAUUCUUGUAGGGUGUUGCUGAAUGAUUUUCAGAAAAUCCAUGGCGGAAAACUUAGACUUUCCAUUGAUGUUGGUUUCUCCAAUUAUAAUUUUAUCAAGCUCUGACAGCAAAGCGGUGAACUGAAAGGCCACGUGGGGACCAGCUCCUACGAAGCCCUGGCGCCUCUCACAUCACGUGGCACGGCCCUCCAUCGCCGCUCCAGUUCAGUGAAUGAGAGAGUACUUCUGGAAAAUUCCCGGGCAGUUCUUAAGGAGAAGUUUGCGAGGGGCAGCCACCGGUUUCUGGGAGAGACGCGUUGGUGAUGACGGUCUGGGGUCUGAAGGUGAGGCUCCAGAGACACUGGCCUGGGCCCUGCUGUCCUUGGG
This is a long non-coding RNA of Peromyscus californicus insignis, 718 nucleotides long. RefSeq lists it as uncharacterized. The record is from RefSeq and is a predicted model, not a curated record. The transcript is spliced from 4 exons. Lineage: Eukaryota; Metazoa; Chordata; Mammalia; Rodentia; Cricetidae.